Molecule: ribosomal RNA, 1443 nt
Filed under: uncultured organism
Description: SSU rRNA
Rfam family: Bacterial small subunit ribosomal RNA
Source: RNAcentral
AGGCUUAACACAUGCAAGUCGAGGGGCAGCAUUUUAGUUUGCUUGCAAACUGAAGAUGGCGACCGGCGCACGGGUGAGUAACACGUAUCCAACCUGCCGAUAACUCCGGAAUAGCCUUUCGAAAGAAAGAUUAAUACCGGAUAGUAUACGAAUAUCGCAUGGUAUUUUUAUUAAAGAAUUUCGGUUAUCGAUGGGGAUGCGUUCCAUUAGUUUGUUGGCGGGGUAACGGCCCACCAAGACUACGAUGGAUAGGGGUUCUGAGAGGAAGGUCCCCCACAUUGGAACUGAGACACGGUCCAAACUCCUACGGGAGGCAGCAGUGAGGAAUAUUGGUCAAUGGGCGAGAGCCUGAACCAGCCAAGUAGCGUGAAGGAUGAAGGCUCUAUGGGUCGUAAACUUCUUUUAUAUGGGAAUAAAGUUUUCCACGUGUGGAAUUUUGUAUGUACCAUAUGAAUAAGGAUCGGCUAACUCCGUGCCAGCAGCCGCGGUAAUACGGAGGAUCCGAGCGUUAUCCGGAUUUAUUGGGUUUAAAGGGAGCGUAGGUGGAUUGUUAAGUCAGUUGUGAAAGUUUGCGGCUCAACCGUAAAAUUGCAGUUGAAACUGGCAGUCUUGAGUACAGUAGAGGUGGGCGGAAUUCGUGGUGUAGCGGUGAAAUGCUUAGAUAUCACGAAGAACUCCGAUUGCGAAGGCAGCUCACUAGACUGUCACUGACGCUGAUGCUCGAAAGUGUGGGUAUCAAACAGGAUUAGAUACCCUGGUAGUCCACACAGUAAACGAUGAAUACUCGCUGUUUGCGAUAUACAGUAAGCGGCCAAGCGAAAGCAUUAAGUAUUCCACCUGGGGAGUACGCCGGCAACGGUGAAACUCAAAGGAAUUGACGGGGGCCCGCACAAGCGGAGGAACAUGUGGUUUAAUUCGAUGAUACGCGAGGAACCUUACCCGGGCUUAAAUUGCAACAGAAUAUAUUGGAAACAGUAUAGCCGUAAGGCUGUUGUGAAGGUGCUGCAUGGUUGUCGUCAGCUCGUGCCGUGAGGUGUCGGCUUAAGUGCCAUAACGAGCGCAACCCUUAUCUUUAGUUACUAACAGGUGAUGCUGAGGACUCUAGAGAGACUGCCGUCGUAAGAUGUGAGGAAGGUGGGGAUGACGUCAAAUCAGCACGGUCCUUACGUCCGGGGCUACACACGUGUUACAAUGGGGGGUACAGAAGGCGGCUACCUGGUGACAGGAUGCUAAUCCCAAAAACCUCUCUCAGUUCGGAUCGAAGUCUGCAACCCGACUUCGUGAAGCUGGAUUCGCUAGUAAUCGCGCAUCAGCCAUGGCGCGGUGAAUACGUUCCCGGGCCUUGUACACACCGCCCGUCAAGCCAUGAAAGCCGGGGGUACCUGAAGUACGUAACCGCAAGGAGCGUCCUAGGGUAAAACUGGUAAUUGGGGCUAAGUCAUA